RNAcentral lists this ribosomal RNA (465 nucleotides) under Vreelandella stevensii. RNAcentral describes it as "partial 16S ribosomal RNA". It matches the Rfam family "Bacterial small subunit ribosomal RNA", at positions 338 to 795 of the family's 1533-position model. Lineage: Bacteria; Pseudomonadati; Pseudomonadota; Gammaproteobacteria; Oceanospirillales; Halomonadaceae. The record is from RNAcentral.
CCUACGGGUGGCUGCAGUGGGGAAUAUUGGACAAUGGGGGCAACCCUGAUCCAGCCAUGCCGCGUGUGUGAAGAAGGCCCUCGGGUUGUAAAGCACUUUCAGUGAGGAAGAACGCCUGGUGGUUAAUACCCAUCAGGAAAGACAUCACUCACAGAAGAAGCACCGGCUAACUCCGUGCCAGCAGCCGCGGUAAUACGGAGGGUGCGAGCGUUAAUCGGAAUUACUGGGCGUAAAGCGCGCGUAGGUGGCUUGAUAAGCCGGUUGUGAAAGCCCCGGGCUCAACCUGGGAACGGCAUCCGGAACUGUCAAGCUAGAGUGCAGGGGAGGAAGGUAGAAUUCCCGGUGGAGCGGUGAAAGGCGUAGAGAUCGGGAGGAAUACCAGUGGCGAAGGCGGCCUUCUGGACUGACACUGACACUGAGGUGCGAAAGCGUGGGUAGCAAACAGGAUUAGAUACCCGUGUAGUC